GGGGAAUAUUGCACAAUGGGCGCAAGCCUGAUGCAGCCAUGCCGCGUGUAUGAAGAAGGCCUUCGGGUUGUAAAGUACUUUCAGCGGGGAGGAAGGUGUUGUGGUUAAUAACCGCAGCAAUUGACGUUACCCGCAGAAGAAGCACCGGCUAACUCCGUGCCAGCAGCCGCGGUAAUACGGAGGGUGCAAGCGUUAAUCGGAAUUACUGGGCGUAAAGCGCACGCAGGCGGUCUGUCAAGUCGGAUGUGAAAUCCCCGGGCUCAACCUGGGAACUGCAUUCGAAACUGGCAGGCUUGAGUCUUGUAGAGGGGGGUAGAAUUCCAGGU
Molecule: ribosomal RNA, 326 nt
Filed under: Salmonella enterica
Lineage: Bacteria; Pseudomonadati; Pseudomonadota; Gammaproteobacteria; Enterobacterales; Enterobacteriaceae
Also listed under: 5 other names
Description: bacterial SSU rRNA
Rfam family: Bacterial small subunit ribosomal RNA
Source: RNAcentral